UUCACAAUAUGAUUUUAACUAGUUGUGGUAUGGUUAAUUGUGUGAAUAUGCUAUAAGAUAUUUAAUUAUUUCUCAUAUAUGAAUGUUGUUUUCAACUUUCCUUAUUAUACAUAAUGAAACUGUGGAAACACACAUGUAUUUUCCAAUGUUUAUGCCUGGAACUGUAGUUGCAUUGUGAAACAGUAUUUAAACUUUUAAAAGUUUGAGCAUAAAUAGCAAAAUGAAAAAAAUGCCCUAAGCCUUAUAAUUCUCAGUGAUCUAUUUACAUAAAAUAAAAAAUAUUAUAUGUUGAAAUAACAGUGAACAGAAAACUCUCCAUCUAAAUUUUAAUUAACUUCUAAUUUUCAAGAAUUAGAAUGCUUCAGAAUGAAACCCCUGAUGAAUUUUUUGCUUUAUCAUGCAAAAUCUUGCAUCAAAGAUUAAAACAUUUGUGAAUUUGCUUUUGGCAUGUCUCUCAUGCAUUGAAAUAAAAAAAAAAACUCAGGAAAAUUUUGAUGGACAUGGAAAAUUUCACUUUCUGAUUGAAGGGUAGCAAAUAUAAUUAGUGUAAUCAACAGAACUCAUAUUUAACUACUUUUGCUAAAUAUUCUCAGAUACUGCUUAACUCUUUUGCUAAUUCUGUCAAUUGAUAAGAGUCUUGAAUUUUGAGUUCUGAGUGUUUAAUUUCAUAAAUAAUCUACAUUAUUUUCUCAUUAUAGAUGCAGCC
Molecule: long non-coding RNA, 706 nt
Filed under: Marmota monax (woodchuck)
Lineage: Eukaryota; Metazoa; Chordata; Mammalia; Rodentia; Sciuridae
Source: RNAcentral